Molecule: ribosomal RNA, 287 nt
Filed under: uncultured bacterium
Lineage: Bacteria
Description: partial 16S ribosomal RNA
Rfam family: Bacterial small subunit ribosomal RNA
Source: RNAcentral
GUGGAUUAGAUACCCUAGUAGUCCACGCUGUAAACGAUGGAUACUAGGUGUAGGAGGUAUCGACCCCUUCUGUGCCGGAGUUAACACAAUAAGUAUCCCACCUGGGGAGUACGGCCGCAAGGUUGAAACUCAAAGGAAUUGACGGGGGCCCGCACAAGCAGUGGAGUAUGUGGUUUAAUUCGAAGCAACGCGAAGAACCUUACCAGGACUUGACAUCCCUUGAAGUUGGUAGAGAUACCAACGUCCUUCGGGACAAGGAGACAGGUGGUGCACGGCUGUCGUCAGCU